This 446-nucleotide ribosomal RNA is filed under the name uncultured bacterium. RNAcentral describes it as "bacterial SSU rRNA". It matches the Rfam family "Bacterial small subunit ribosomal RNA", at positions 329 to 792 of the family's 1533-position model. The record is from RNAcentral.
UGCCAGACUCCUACGGGAGGCAGCAGUGGGGGAUAUUGCACAAUGGGGGGAACCCUGAUGCAGCGACGCCGCGUGGGUGAAGAAGCGCCUCGGCGCGUAAAGCCCUGUCAGCAGGGAAGAAAAUGACGGUACCUGCAAAGGAAGCACCGGCUAACUCCGUGCCAGCAGCCGCGGUAAUACGGAGGGUGCGAGCGUUAAUCGGAAUUACUGGGCGUAAAGCGCUCGUAGGCGGUAUGUCAAGUCAAGGGUGAAAUCCCCGCGCUCAACGUGGGAACUGCCUUUGAAACUGGCAAACUGGAGUGUGUGAGAGGAUAGUGGAAUUCCAGGUGUAGGAGUGAAAUCCGUAGAUAUCUGGAGGAACAUCAGUGGCGAAGGCGACUAUCUGGCACAUAACUGACGCUGAGGAGCGAAAGCGUGGGUAGCAAACAGGAUUAGAUACCCCUGUA